AUGGUGUCGCCUGUUGCUCCCAUCGUCGGCAAUAUACUAACACUUAUCACUUUGCUACAACAUAUGUCACAUCAAAAUCAUAGCCUCCAAGGCAAGAUCGUCGGUAAAUUCGGCUCACUAAGGGUUGAGGUGGAGUCGGCCGAAUGCAACAUGGCGAACUACAAGGACGAUGAUGAGUCGAUGCUGGAGAUGCAGGAGUUGCUUCUAGAUAUUCAGGACUACCUUUGCGAUCUUCAUAUUCCAGAGAAAUUGGACGCCCUUUUCCUGGUUGCGACGGGGACUGAUUCCCGUGCUGAAAAUAUUGGCCGCAUCGAUUCUUUCCUAGCGAGCAUCGAUAACGUCAACAAGCGGCGAGAUGAGAGAGCUAAAGAAGCUGCAUCCAAGCCCACGAUUCUUACAUCAAUGGCAUCCAGAUCUAAGGCAGCACCUACUCUUUAUGUUCCAGAGAAAGAUCUCGAGGGCUUCACCAACAGCAAAAAAGAGUUCAUGGAUCUGAUCUCACUAGCAAAGGUAGGGCAGCUGAGGCUGAUCUCCAUUGUGGGAUGUAACGGCUUGGGAAAGACCGCCCUAGCAAGGGCGGUCUAUGACGACGUUGGUCUGCCAUCUCCAGCCACACCAAAAAACCUAGGAGAGAGUGAUAACCAGCCACCAGAGCCACUCGAAGAAAAAACCACAAAAGAGAUAUUCGAUUGCAGAGCUUGGGUUGUGGCGUCGACGUUUAACGACAUGGAGGCCCUUCUAAAUGAGGUUCUAAAAGAAUUUUGUCCCAACGCAGCCGGUGCAAACACCUCCAAAGCUUUAAACGACUACCUUGCUGAUAAAAGGUACAUGGUCGUUAUUGAUGAUCUGCAGUCAGACCGUGUACGAUGGAAGGAUAUAAAACAUGUGUUCCCUGAAAAUAACAAAGGCAGCAGAGUUAUUGUAACCACGAGUGUUCAUUCCAUCGCCAGGGACUACAGCUCUGGCUGUUACUAUGUGUACCCAAUGCAAUGCCUUAGUGAAGCAAAUUCAGAGAGCCUAUUCUGGAAGAAAGUUUUAGCCCCCAACACUAGGGGUCCUACUGUUCCCGAGGUGGAACGGUCAAAAAUUAUCUUGGCUAAAUGUGACGGUUUGCCGCUGGCUCUGGUUAGUGCAUGUAAUUAUCCAUGUCGGGCGCACAAAGACCAAUCUCUGUGUGAAGAUCGGUACCGUGGUAUGUGCCACGAACUUGAUAAUAUUGUGGCGAGCAAUGAGAUAGACUUUGAUGACAUGAAAAGAAUGUUUGUCCAAUGUUACAACAACCUGACUGACUAUGAUCACAAGAACUGCUUGCUUUAUUUGAGCAUAUACCCCAGGGGUCAUGAAAUUAACAGUAAGAGUGCAGUCAGAAAAUUAAAAGGCGAAGAAUUGGUUGCCGGAGAUGCCCUUAAAUGUUGGAAGAGAUUGAUUGACAAUAGUCUGAUUGAGCCUGCACCGAUUCGCAACAAUUGCAGUGUUGCCAAGAGGUGUAAAGUUCAGGGUAUGAUGAGGGAGUUUACCAUCAACAAGUCCAUCUCAAGAAACUUGGUCACUCUAGUUGAAGGGGACGAGGUCCGGCGUAUCCAACCUCACAGGACUGUCCGGCGACUCAGUGUUCGAUCCAGCUCCAGCAACGAAGGAGGAAGCAAUCUGAUUCCACAUGAAAUUGAAACUAAAAUGUCAACUGUCAGGUCGUUAACGGUCUUCACAAGUAACCAUCCGGGUGAGACAUAUGUCAAUGACAUCAAUUUCAGGAGCUGCAAGAUGAUGCGGGUCUUGGAUCUCGAAGGUUGCAAGGGACUUAGUUCUACUGUUGUCGAUGUCAUAUGUGAACUGCUGUUUCUGAACUAUCUUAGCCUCAGGAAAACUGAUGUGAACGAGCUUCCCACAAAAAUGAAGAAGCUAGAGCGUUUAGAGACGCUGGACAUUCGACAGACAAGGGUGGCAAUAUUGCCUGUGGAAGUCAUCAUGAUGAAAGAUUUAGCUCGGCUUUUUGGCGAGUUUCAGCUACCAGCGUUAGCUGACGCAGAAAAAGAAGCUCUUACAAACUUCCUCAAGCAGUAUAGUAAACUGCAUACUCUUGCUGGCAUCGUUAUCAACAAUACACAAGGUUUUGAGAUUAUACAGCACGCAAAAAAUCUGAAGAAGGUUAGAAUAUGUGGCAACAAGGAUGAUAGUUUUGCUGCUUCCGCCCCUACCGGCUCCAAGCUCACAUCUUUCUUAAGCAAGAAGAAGAAUAAGAAUACUGAUGUUGCUGCUACUUCCGCCCCAAUAUCCCCACCUUCCGUCCGUAGGGAUAAGACCCCCUUUUGGUCUGGAAUUUUUUCCAAAGCUGCAAAGCCGACCUCCAAAGCAUGUUAUAUCAACAAUAAGUUGGUAGAGCAGACCCCGCCAAGUACCAGGCCCAAUGGUGAGUGGGUCGCCGGCGCCGCCACGCAGAGGGAAUCUAAAAGGGCUAAAAUAUCACCUGGAGUUUUGGCCUCCUUGGUCUUCUCUCUUCAGAAGCGUUCAACCGCUCUGCACUCUAUAUCCAUUGACUCCGCUGGUAUCAGCAACUUCUUUCUUGCUUCUAAUUCAAAGCCUCGCAUUGCCAAAUCCAUCAAACUACGGGGACCAUUGACAAGUCUGACACCUGGUACACUGAAGGACCUCCGUAAUCUCAGAAAACUGCACCUCAUCGAAACCGGUCUCAGCAGCCAAAUAUUGGUGGAAGCCCUGCAAAGCUUGGAAUGCUUGGAAUAUCUCAAGCUCGGCGAGGAGGAUCGCUCUGGAGCUUGGAACGGGGACUUCUCAGUGCAAAGUGGUGGAUUCUCAGCCCUCCGGGACCUGUGUUUCGAGGGUGCAAAGCAGUAUCCACGGUUGAAGAUCGCACAAGGAGCCAUGCACGUCCUCACCUCUCUUCAGCUGCUUUGUGAGAAAUCUCCGCCUCUGAUGGGAGUUGACGGCAUAGAGCAUCUUACAUGUCUCGACGAGGUCAUACUCCACUAUUCUGCAGAUGAUGCAACGGUACAAGCGUGGAAAGAAGCAGCAAGCGAGCACACCAACAAGCCGUGUGUGAAGAAGCAACCAAAUGCAGAUGAACCUAUCAACAAUACAACAUAA
Molecule: ribosomal RNA, 3099 nt
Filed under: Triticum aestivum (bread wheat)
Lineage: Eukaryota; Viridiplantae; Streptophyta; Magnoliopsida; Poales; Poaceae
Description: partial small subunit ribosomal RNA
Source: RNAcentral